Molecule: long non-coding RNA, 2255 nt
Filed under: Nicotiana benthamiana
Lineage: Eukaryota; Viridiplantae; Streptophyta; Magnoliopsida; Solanales; Solanaceae
Description: long non-coding RNA (NBEN_LNC038541)
Source: RNAcentral
UCUCUAUUGCUCUUGUUCUUGCAUUAUUGUUCUUGUCUUUAUAUUAUUUCAUAACAGUUUUAAAAUUUUAAUGUUAGCUAAAUUAGAAAAUAUAGUUUUAUCGAUCCAAUAAGCAUUAUAUUUUUAAAUAAUUGAAAAUCGAAUCGCUAUUUUGGAUCUUUUGUGUUUGCAGAGUUGUUAAUGUAAUUGACUUUCGCCAACCGCCCCUCUCUCUCGCACAUAUAUGUUUUAAGUUUUUUAGUUAUUUGUUUAAAUUGUUGAAUGUAGUCUUCAAAUAUUAUACAAAAAUUGAUGAACUAUUUGAGUAAAAAAAGAGUUUGAACAUAAUACAAAAAUAUAUUAUAGUUCAUUUGGUAAAUUUAAAAAAAAAAUAUGGAAGAAAAUAUUGUUAAGUUAUAUUGUUCAAUUAAAAAAUUAAUUUAUAUUAAAUAAAUUUUAAUUGAUUUUAAAGUUCAAAAUAUUAAAUUAUAAUUUUUACAUAAUUCAAAUAGGAAGGAUUGGGUUAUUUGUCAUGAUUUUGUGAAUGACCAAAUAUAAAAUCAUACUAUCUACAUUAUAAACUCAAAGACGUAAAAUCAUAAUUUAAUACAAUUGACAUAAUUCAAGAAAAAUCUAGAAAAUAUAAAAUCAUACUAUCUACAUUAUAUAACUCAAAGACAUAGGGUUAAUUAAUCUUCAUAACUUGGUGAAAAUGUGCAGUAUAAUGAAACAGAAUUUUCAGUAUAAUAGUCAUGAACGUAGAGAAAAAAGGAAAUAAAUAUAAAUUUGCAUUCUCAAUAAGAUCAAAAUAAGAAGGUGAAGUAGUAAUGUGGAACUUGACAGAUAAAUUGAAGUCACCUUUUUUAACUAUUUUAAAAUCCUCACUAUUUUGAUUUUUUUUCUAGCCCGCUGAUGUUUUGAUUUUUUCCCUUGCUUUUACUAUAAAUAUGUUGCAUUCUUCUAUAAUGAAAGAAUUUAUAUAUGGUAGAAUUUUAAUUGAUUUGAAGUCUUAAAUAUUAGGAUUUUUUAUAUAGUUAAAUAAGGAAAGAUUUGAUAAACAAUAAUUUCAAACUCCUAAAUAUAAGAAAAUAAUUUAAAUGACUAUUUUGUUUAAAGUGAAAUUUAAUUUUAAAGGAUAAAAAAGGCGAAUGAUAUUUUGCUAAAGGCAUUCGUACUUUUAAUAUAAUAUAGAUAGACUGAUUGAAUUCUUAGUAUAUGUUCACAGGGAUAAACUUCUAAAUACCAAGUGAUUACAUCCUAUUUGGUUAGUAAUUUUUGUCCUUUCCUUUUCUUGUCAUCUAUGUAAAAUUUAAGUGUUCGUACUUUUAAUAUAGUAUAGAUAGAUUGAUUGAAUUCUUAGUAUAAGUUCAAAGGGAUAAACUUCUAAAUACCAAGUGAUUACAUCCUAUUUUGUUUGUAAUUUUAGUUCUUUCCUUUUCUUGUCAUCUAUAUAAAAUUUAAGUGUAAAAAUUCAUAUAAAAUAAAAUGUUAAUAUUUUUAAAGUUUUAAAUACGAAAAGUUUUCUACGUAAUCCAAAUAAGGAAGAAUGUAAUAUAUAAAGUUUAGUUGAUUUUGUAGUUUUAAAUAUUAGGCAAAUAAUUAAAUGAGUUUUCCUACAUAUAAUGAAAAUAAUUAAAUGAGUAUUCUUACAUAUUAGAAAAAUAACUAAAUUAUUAUUUUAUCCAAUGUCCUCUAUUUUUAAAGUUUAAAAAAACAAACGCUAUUUUGUUAAGUUUGUGCUAGAUAGAGUAAAAUAAUAUAGAAUAUAGAUAUUUUGAAGUCAAUAAAGUUUGAACUUUUACGCUACCCACUUUGCGUAAUGAAUUUACUUUCCCAAUUUCCACAAACAAAAAAGAGCUGGAUUUUCCAUAUUCUUGUUUGGGUAAAAAUGUUUUUCUAGAAGUAUAUUUGUCAACCUAUUCUAAGCAAUUAGUCUAUUGUCGGUCAAUAUUUCUACCUACCAGUACUCUACCUUCAAAGAAUAUAAGCCUAUACAAAUUCUAAAGUCUAAAUAAGAAGGUAGAACUUACGGAAAAAUCUGGAAAAAAAGACUUCCUAUAGAUGAUGCAACUAAUAAAUAAGCAAACAAAACAUCUAUGUUUCAAGUAUAAUUUUAAAUUUUUUCAUAUAAUAAUGGUUAAGACUCUAAUACCAUGUUAUGUCAUCUAAUUUCUUAAACCAUUAGAAAAUGUACUCUUUUAUUUACUUGAAUAUUGACAAGAGGGGUUGCUCUGAUGGUAAGCAACCCCCACUUCCAACCGAGAGGUUAUGAGUUN